AGCUUGUGUGUCUUAGGCAAUGUAGCCUGUGUAGUGUCUGUUGUGUGGCCUGGGCAGAUUUUGCUGUGGUGCUGUGAGUGAAGAAUCUGAGUUAGAGCUGGUGAGCAGCUGAAGUACCGGAGCUGGGAAGAGAGAGGUCUUGCAGCAGGUACACUGUGGCUGUGAGGUGCCUCAGAGUGUGCUUUUCCCUUUUCUCUGCAGGUGCUUUGUGCAGUCGUGGACAGGGAAGGGAUAUCUUCCUGUGAUGGAGCUCUGAGGGAAGGUGAGUGUUGCCAGCCUGGUCAUGCCUUAUCCGAAGCGAAGGGAAGACGCUCAGGUGUUUUCCUGUGAGGGUUGGAGGUGAGGCUGUUUGGGAUAGAGGAGCAGUGUGGCAGGUGGGUGCUUGCAAGCACAGUGGUCAUUGUAUCCUUUUGUGUUCCCAGGUGGCGUGGGUGAUGUUGGCCGCUCCUUUCAAGCUUGGACCUAAUUUUCAGGCUGAAACGCAGUGCGCAGUGCAGGACCUCUCGACCCAAGCUGCCUCUGCAGUGACUCUGGUGCUUGAUGAGCAGAGGUAACUGUUGUUUUUGGGGCGCGAUUGUCACUGCAGUUAUUUUCCUACAUCCAAUAGAGUAAAAUUCCAGUUUGCCUUUUAGAGGUGCUAUAAGUGGGUGAAGAGAACAGAUGGAAGCAUGUGCCACGUGGGGUAGGCAGACGGCUGAGGUACAGGAGGGGAUGAGAGUAUGUGAUUUUUUUCUGGGGACGAAAUGGAAUUAAUUUUGUUGGUGUAUAAUCUGUUCUGCACCUAGAUUUUUCUUUCAAUGUGAAUAAAAGUUUGAGCUAAUUCCA
Molecule: long non-coding RNA, 825 nt
Filed under: Anas platyrhynchos platyrhynchos (common mallard)
Lineage: Eukaryota; Metazoa; Chordata; Aves; Anseriformes; Anatidae
Description: lncRNA (ENSAPLG00000026066.1)
Source: RNAcentral